RNAcentral lists this ribosomal RNA (253 nucleotides) under uncultured bacterium. RNAcentral describes it as "partial 16S ribosomal RNA". It matches the Rfam family "Bacterial small subunit ribosomal RNA", at positions 524 to 776 of the family's 1533-position model. The record is from RNAcentral.
UACGUAGGGGGCAAGCGUUGUCCGGAAUCAUUGGGCGUAAAGAGCGUGUAGGCGGCUCGGUAAGUCCGCUGUAAAAGUCCAGGGCUCAACCCUGGAAAGCCGGUGGAAACUGUCGAGCUAGAGUCCGGAAGAGGCGAGUGGAAUUCCUGGUGUAGCGGUGAAAUGCGCAGAUAUCGUCAAGAACACCGAUAGCGAAGGCAGCUUACUGGGCUGUAACUGACGCUGAUGCACGAAAGUGUGGGGAUCAAACAGG